GCCGCCUUAGCUCAGUUGGCAGAGCAACGCACUCGUAAUGCGUAGGUCGGGGGUUCGACUCCCCCAGGCGGCUCCA
This 76-nucleotide transfer RNA is filed under the name Propionibacterium sp. RNAcentral describes it as "tRNA-Thr". It matches the Rfam family "tRNA". Rfam says of the family: Transfer RNA (tRNA) molecules are approximately 80 nucleotides in length. Their secondary structure includes four short double-helical elements and three loops (D, anti-codon, and T loops). Lineage: Bacteria; Bacillati; Actinomycetota; Actinomycetes; Propionibacteriales; Propionibacteriaceae. The record is from RNAcentral.